GUAGAUAUAGCUCAGCUGGUUAGAGCGCCGGAUUGUGAUUCCGGAGGUCGUGGGUUCGAGCCCCAUUAUUUACCC
This 75-nucleotide transfer RNA is filed under the name Hymenobacter antarcticus. RNAcentral describes it as "tRNA-His". It matches the Rfam family "tRNA". From Rfam's summary of the family: Transfer RNA (tRNA) molecules are approximately 80 nucleotides in length. Their secondary structure includes four short double-helical elements and three loops (D, anti-codon, and T loops). The record is from RNAcentral. Lineage: Bacteria; Pseudomonadati; Bacteroidota; Cytophagia; Cytophagales; Hymenobacteraceae. RNAcentral also lists the same sequence under 2 other names.